GGGACAUGGAGGGAGACAGAGGCAGAGAUGGGGGAGAGAGGCAGAGAGACAGAGACGAGAGGAGGAGGACACAGAGAGACAGGGAGAAUGACAGAGACAGAGACACAGAGAGAGACACAGGUGAGAGAGGCAGAGAGACAGAGACGAGAGGAGGAGGACACAGAGAUAGAGGGAUACAGAGACAGGGAGAUGAGAGAGAGACAGAGACAAGAAGAGGAGGACACAGAGAUAGAGGGAUACAGAGACAGGGAGAUGAGAGAGACAGAGACAGAGAGAGACACAGAUGAAAGAGGCAGAGAGACAGAGACGAGAGGAGGAGGACACAGAGAUAGACAGGGAGAUGACAGAGACAGAGAGACACAGAGACACAGAUGAAAUAGGCAGAGAGAAAGAGACGAGAGGAGGAGGACACAGAGAUAGAGAGAGACAGAGACAGGGAGAUGACAGAGACAGAGACAGAGAGAGACACAGAUGAGAGAGGCAGAGAGAAAGAUGAGAGGAAGAGGACAAAGAGAUAGAGAGACAGGGAGACGACAGAGACAGAGAGAGAUACAGAUGACAGAGACAGAGAUGAGAGGAGGAGGACACAGAGAUAGAUAGAGACAGGGAGAUGACAGACAGAGAAAGGGGCAUGACAGAGACAGAAACACAGAGAGAGACACAGAGAUGAGAAAGGCAGAGAUGAGAGGAGGAGGACACAGAGAUAGGGAGAUGACAGAGACAGAGACAGAGAGAGACAAAGAUGAGAGAGGCAGAGAGACAGAUGAGAGGAGGACACAGAGAUAGAGGGAUAGAGAGACAGGGAGAUGACAGAGACAGAGACAGAGAGAGACAAAGAUGAGAGAGGCAGAGAGACAGAUGAGAGGAGGACACAGAGAUAGAGGGAUAGAGAGACAGGGAGAUGACAGAGACAGAGACAGAGAGAGACAAAGAUG
Molecule: long non-coding RNA, 935 nt
Filed under: Pan troglodytes (chimpanzee)
Lineage: Eukaryota; Metazoa; Chordata; Mammalia; Primates; Hominidae
Description: long non-coding RNA NONPTRT008322
Source: RNAcentral